GAAAGAGUCAAGUAAUAACUUUGUUACAUAUACUUAGUGAGCCCAUAGAAUAUGGGAAGAUAACAGAAAGCAUGGAAUAAAGUCAUUUUAAGUAGUGUUAAAAAUGUGGCAGGAGUGAAUGGUUGCUAUUGAUAAAGCAGUGAAAUCUAUUUGCAUAGCAUUAUAUCCACCAGCAGUAAACCAACAUUCGGAGAAACAGACUGUGGCUCCAAAUAUAAUUUAAAAUAUGCCCACCAAAAAAAGUAUUGGCAAACCAGUUAAUUAUUUGGAGUAAUUGACACUAAUGAACAAAUCAAGAUUUCUAUUUACAGUUUUGUUCACAAUGUAACCACCAUUUGACUACAUUUUAUUGAUUUUUUUUCCAGAGAGCAUGGAGGACUGCUGCUUAUACUGCAGUUAUGUGACUUGCAAAAUGAAAUGAUGAUGGUGCAGUGCGCCUCUCAGAAGAGGUGGGUACGUGCCCUGCCUUCCAGAGGGAACCAAUGAAGGAAACUUGACUGAUGAGAAGAAAGAAUACAGAUGCAACAAGCAAGAGAAGUAGGGACAGGAAAAACAGCAAAAUGAGUGAAAGCAAAGUUACCAAAAAGUUGGAGCGCCACAGGUUGCAAGCAGAAGAAAAUGACUGAAUGCAUAAGAGACAGAUGGAAUUAAAACAGAUGGAAAUUGACACAGAAGCAGCCAGACAGAAAGCUGACCACGAGAUAGUCCUGGAACUGAAAGACAAAGAAAUGAAGCAUGAACUGGUCAUAAUGGAGAGGAGGAGACAGAACCCCCCACCAGGGGGCUCCACCUCUUCAGAAAUCCACAAGUGGGAGCGGUUGUGUCCAGCAUAUAGUGAAUCUGGGGACAUUGUUGAAUACUUCAUCACCGUUGAGAGGCUGUGUAUUCUCCAUGUGAUUCCUGACGAUCAAAAGACGACCACUCUGGUUGCAAAGUUGACUGGGAGAGCUUGGGACAUAUUCAGUAAGAUGCCAGUUAGAGAUGCUUCCAAUUAUGGUAAAUUUAAGGACAUGGGCUUUAAAACGGUUUCAGAUUACACCUGAAAUUUAUAGAGUAACAUUUAAAAGCUUUAAGAGAGGGGCUAGAUUAAGUAAUGUGGCUUAUGUGAACCAAAUGACAGAUCUACUGGAUAAGUGGGUCAGGGGAAAAGGUAUUUGAAGGAAUGUGUGAUUUGGUCACUCAGGAACAGUUCCUGAAUAUGUCUAGUGAUGAUGUGAAACAGUGUUUAUGGGAUAAAAAGGUAGAGACGGUCAAAGAA
Molecule: long non-coding RNA, 1258 nt
Organism: Chelonia mydas (Green sea turtle)
Lineage: Eukaryota; Metazoa; Chordata; Testudines; Cheloniidae
Exons: 3
Source: RefSeq, a predicted model, not a curated record